Long non-coding RNA from Brassica napus (rape), 2039 nucleotides. RefSeq lists it as uncharacterized. NCBI's taxonomy places the organism in Eukaryota, Viridiplantae, Streptophyta, Magnoliopsida, Brassicales, Brassicaceae. The transcript is spliced from 2 exons. The record is from RefSeq and is a predicted model, not a curated record.
UAAGUGCUAGUUUGGGAACAAAAACUUGAUUUAGUGCUAUUUUUGUCUUUUUCUCUUAAACUUUUCCUGAAUUGACACAUUAUCUCCAAUCUAAAAUUUUAAAAACCCAAUUCGGGAAAAGAAGAAAUUGACAAAUGGCCAAGUGUGUUUAGUCGAGGAAGCUUGCAAGGCCUAUGAUGUGGAUAGUGUAACAUAUAUAUAUAUAUGUAUAUAUGAGAUAACUUAUUUUGAACCAUACAAUAUUCUUUGACAAAAUUAAGUUUUGUCUGAUCAUUGCAUAGGUAAAGGAAGCAUCCUUCUUUACAACUUAAAGGGCACCUUCUUCCUUAACACCUUAUCUAUCUUUUCGUGAGGCAAAGCUAAUAGUUUGAGGUUAAGGGUGUUGAAUAACUUAGUAAGCUGUAAUUGGAUUAGACUCACCUGUCCUAAUAGCAGUAAUCAUUAAAUAAAUUCAGUUUCUUCCGGUCCAAGACAUAGAUCACUGAAGUCGCUGAUAAGAUUAAGUAUUGUUCCAACUUAUAAAUGGAUUUUUACUUUUAUGAAUAAAUUGUAUCAGUAUUUCCAGUCACAAGAGAAAGAAAGAAAAAACAGUUACGCCAAUCGUUAGACAAACAAACAUUGGAAUAGGAACCUAUUGGAGAGAGAGAGGUAGGCCUUCCAUGUCAUCAGUUAUCCCAUCUUCAUCGACAAACCUAAUUUUCUUACACUUGAAGCCUUCCAUGUUAUUAAUAUCAUAUCAUAUGAUUGUGUAUUUGUGUGCUACUGUUAUGUGAUGUUCAUAUGAUUGUAUGUGUGCUAGUGAGUUUGUUGACGAAAGAAGAAGCCUUUCUUACUCUGAGCUAUGGGCAUGACCUACGUAUUCCAACUCUCCUCCACCUACUUCUGUGCCCAUUCCUAGUUCUCUCUCCGGCAAAGGAGGACGGUUUCUUUAACCUUUCCAUCUCCUGACUCUGCUGUCGAUGUUCUGAAGUUGCUAAGUCUGCUCCUGUUUCUCCAACCUCAUCUUGUGACGACCACAACCCGUUCCACAGUACUGUCUCUGCUACUAUGACACUGCGCCGCGUGCUUAACCUUGAGACUGCUGACGAAUGAAGACCAGGAGGGUUUAGGGGAACAUGGAUUAGUUUUAGUUUUCUAAACAUAGUAAUAAGGUGUAAGUCACCAAGCUAGUUUAAAGAACGCAGAGGCAGUCUUGACACAGAGCUGGUCAUCAGCUAUUGUGAGUAGAAACAUUCAGGAAACAGAUUGAAACCGCGUAAGAGAGAAGACUUGGUUCUUGGUUAGCAUUUAGCAGCAUAAAGGAUGGCUGGUGAUGCUUGAGUAUUAGCAUUUGUUCUUUGUCCUUUGUAUUAGAGCUGUCUUCUUUUUUUUCUUCCUUUGGCUUCUUCACUUAAGUGGGUUAGAUAGAAGCUAGGUUUAUGUGUCUACGCUCGAACGCCUCUUGGGAUCUUUGUCUUCUUACCUUUUCUCUCGUAUCUCUUCCCUUGUCCAUAUUUUUUCUAUUAAUCUUUUCUCUUCCGUCUAGUUCAUUUUGUUCCAGCCUUAGAGAUGUAAAUCUUACUACUUUGGUUAAGUGAUCUUCCUCUUCAGCUCUUUUCCUGAUUUUUUUUUUUUUUGUAAAUGAAGAAGGGAAUAGGAAGUUCUAGUAAACUAUCUCUGCUGAUGAGUUUCAUCCAUCUUGAUACCUGAAACACACUAAGUUUCCUUGGAGUUUCUUGAUCCUGCUUAAUCUGCUCACCAGGGACCUAUAGAAGCUGCUGCUCUGCUUUUGAUGCUUUAUUAUGGAUUCUUUGUCUCCUACUAUCUCUGGUUGUGUUUGUUACGCAUUGAUAACUAUUUUCUUUCAAAAAAAAAAAAAACUAUUUUCUUUGUUUGGAACUGUUGUCUGAAGCUAUUUUACGCAUUGAUAAGUAUUUUCUCCUACAAACGUAUGUUUCUUCUUGUCUUUUUGUAGUUUGUGACAGUAGUAGACGUUUUGAGUUUUAAUGUUGAAGAAAAUGUAUCCCUUGUUCCCUAAAUUAUUAUUUUUUUUCCGUCAA